ACGCACGCUGGCGGCGUGCUUAACACAUGCAAGUCGCACGGAAAGGCCCUGCUUGCAGGGUACUCGAGUGGCGAACGGGUGAGUAACACGUGGGUGAUCUGCCCUGCACUUCGGGAUAAGCUUGGGAAACUGGGUCUAAUACCGGAUAGGAGCCAUCUUUAGUGUGGUGGUUGGAAAGUUUUUUCGGUGUAGGAUGAGCUCGCGGCCUAUCAGCUUGUUGGUGGGGUAAUGGCCUACCAAGGCGGCGACGGGUAGCCGGCCUGAGAGGGUGUACGGCCACAUUGGGGCUGAGAUACGGCCCAGACUCCUACGGGAGGCAGCAGUGGGGAAUAUUGCACAAUGGGCGCAAGCCUGAUGCAGCGACGCCGCGUGGGGGAUGAAGGCCUUCGGGUUGUAAACUCCUUUCGCUAGGGACGAAGCUUUUUUGUGACGGUACCUAGAUAAGAAGCACCGGCUAACUACGUG
Molecule: ribosomal RNA, 465 nt
Filed under: uncultured bacterium
Lineage: Bacteria
Description: partial 16S ribosomal RNA
Rfam family: Bacterial small subunit ribosomal RNA
Source: RNAcentral